CGAACGGGUGAGUAACACGUGGGCAACCUGCCCAAAAGAGGGGGAUAACACUUAGAAACAGGUGCUAAUACCGCAUAACCAUAGUUACCGCAGGGUAACUAUGUAAAAGGUGGCUAUGCUACCGCUUUUGGAUGGGCCCGCGACGCAUUAGCUAGUUGGUGGGGUAAAGGCUUACCAAGGCAAUGAUGCGUAGCCGAACUGAGAGGUUGAUCGGCCACAUUGGGACUGAGACACGGCCCAAACUCCUACGGGAGGCAGCAGUAGGGAAUCUUCCACAAUGGGCGAAAGCCUGAUGGAGCAACGCCGCGUGGGUGAAGAAGGUCUUCGGAUCGUAAAACCCUGUUGUUAGAGAAGAAAGUGCGUGAGAGUAACUGUUCACGUUUCGACGGUAUCUAACCAGAAAGCCACGGCUAACUACGUGCCAGCAGCCCCGGUAAUACGUAGGUGGCAAGCGUUAUCCGGAUUUAUUGGGCGUAAAGAGAACGCAGGCGGUCUUUUAAGUCUGAUGUGAAAGCCUUCGGCUUAACCGGAGUAGUGCAUUGG
This 543-nucleotide ribosomal RNA is filed under the name uncultured bacterium. Its description in RNAcentral is "bacterial SSU rRNA". It matches the Rfam family "Bacterial small subunit ribosomal RNA", at positions 99 to 629 of the family's 1533-position model. The record is from RNAcentral.